This 253-nucleotide ribosomal RNA is filed under the name uncultured bacterium. RNAcentral's name for it is "partial 16S ribosomal RNA". It matches the Rfam family "Bacterial small subunit ribosomal RNA", at positions 524 to 776 of the family's 1533-position model. The record is from RNAcentral.
UACGGAGGGGGCUAGCGUUGUUCGGAAUUACUGGGCGUAAAGCGCGCGUAGGCGGCUUUGUAAGUUAGAGGUGAAAGCCCGAAGCUCAACUUCGGAAUUGCCUUUAAGACUGCAUCGCUAGAAUUGUGGAGAGGUAAGUGGAAUUCCGAGUGUAGAGGUGAAAUUCGUAGAUAUUCGGAAGAACACCAGUGGCGAAGGCGACUUACUGGACACGUAUUGACGCUGAGGUGCGAAAGCGUGGGGAGCAAACAGG